CAGUCGCCGCGGGAAUACGAAGGGUGCAAGCGUUACUCGGAAUUACUGGGCGUAAAGCGUGCGUAGGUGGUGGUUUAAGUCCGUUGUGAAAGCCCUGGGCUCAACCUGGGAAUUGCAGUGGAUACUGGGUCACUAGAGUGUGGUAGAGGAUAGUGGAAUUUCCCGUGUAGCAGUGAAAUGCGUAGAGAUCGGAAGGAACAUCUGUGGCGAAGGCGACUAUCUGGGCCAACACUGACACUGAGGCACGAAAGCGUGGGGAACAAACAGGAUUAGAGACCCGUGUAGUCCCUGUCUCUUAUAC
This 301-nucleotide ribosomal RNA is filed under the name uncultured bacterium. RNAcentral's name for it is "partial 16S ribosomal RNA". It matches the Rfam family "Bacterial small subunit ribosomal RNA", at positions 509 to 807 of the family's 1533-position model. The record is from RNAcentral.